GGGGUUCUGGCCGAGUGGUUAAGGCGCUGUGUUUAGGUCAUUCAACCCGCAGUGGGAAACCGCGCAGGUUCGAAUCCUGCGGACCUCA
Molecule: transfer RNA, 88 nt
Filed under: Erysiphe necator (grape powdery mildew)
Lineage: Eukaryota; Fungi; Ascomycota; Leotiomycetes; Helotiales; Erysiphaceae
Rfam family: tRNA
About the family: Transfer RNA (tRNA) molecules are approximately 80 nucleotides in length. Their secondary structure includes four short double-helical elements and three loops (D, anti-codon, and T loops).
Source: Rfam by way of RNAcentral